Molecule: ribosomal RNA, 742 nt
Filed under: uncultured archaeon
Lineage: Archaea
Description: bacterial SSU rRNA
Rfam family: Archaeal small subunit ribosomal RNA
Source: RNAcentral
GACUGGGAUAACUCUGGGAAACUGGGGAUAAUACUGGAUAUUAGGCUAUGCCUGGAAUGGUUUGCCUUUGAAAUGUUUUUUUUCGCCUAAGGAUAGGUCUGCGGCUGAUUAGGUCGUUGGUGGGGUAAUGGCCCACCAAGCCGAUGAUCGGUACGGGUUGUGAGAGCAAGGGCCCGGAGAUGGAACCUGAGACAAGGUUCCAGACCCUACGGGGUGCAGCAGGCGCGAAACCUCCGCAAUGUACGAAAGUGCGACGGGGGGAUCCCAAGUGUUAUGCUUUUUUGUAUGACUUUUCAUUAGUGUAAAAAGCUUUUAGAAUAAGAGCUGGGCAAGACCGGUGCCAGCCGCCGCGGUAACACCGGCAGCUCGAGUGGUAGCUGUUUUUAUUGGGCCUAAAGCGUUCGUAGCCGGUUUGAUAAGUCUUUGGUGAAAGCUUGUAGCUUAACUAUAAGAAUUGCUGGAGAUACUAUUAGACUUGAAGUCGGGAGAGGUUAGAGGUACUACCGGGGUAGGGGUGAAAUCCUAUAAUCCUGGGAGGACCACCUGUGGCGAAGGCGUCUAACUGGAACGAUCUUGACGGUGAGUAACGAAAGCCAGGGGCGCGAACCGGAUUAGAUACCCGGGUAGUCCUGGCCGUAAACGAUGUGGACUUGGUGUUGGAAUGGCUUUGAGUUGUUCCGGUGCCGAAGGGAAGCUGUUAAGUCCACCGCCUGGGAAGUACGGUCGCAAGACUGAAACUUAA